Molecule: ribosomal RNA, 497 nt
Filed under: uncultured bacterium
Lineage: Bacteria
Description: partial 16S ribosomal RNA
Rfam family: Bacterial small subunit ribosomal RNA
Source: RNAcentral
GACGAACGCUGGCGGCGUGCCUAAUACAUGCAAGUUGAGCGCUGAAGGUUGGUACUUGUGCCAACUGGCUGAGCAGCGCACGGGAGAGUAACGCGUGGGGAAUCUGCCUUUGAGCGGGGUACAACAUUUGGAAACGAAUGCUAAUACCGCAUAAAAACUUUAAACACAAGUUUUAAUGUUGAAAGAUGCAAUUGCAUCACUCAAAGAUGAUUCCGCGUUGUAUUAGUUAGUUGGUGAGGUAUAGGCUCAUCUAGGCGAUGAUACAUAGCCGACCUGAGAGGGUGAGCGGCCACAGUGGGACGGAGACACGGCCCAUAGUCCUACAGGAGGGAGCAGGAGGGAAACGUCGGCAAGGGACGAGAGUCUGACCGAGCAACGCCGCGGGAGUGAAGAAGAUUGUCGGAUCGGAAAACUCGGUUGGUAGGGAAGAAAGUGGGUGAGAGUGGAAAGCUCAUCAAGUGACGGUAACUACUCAGAAAGGGACGGCUAACUACGUG